CUCUCUUCUCCAAGCUACUACUUCAAGAAGCAGCGGGCUCUGCGGCUCAGCCCAGGCUGCGGGGGUUGGGGGGCGCUCCCACGCGGGGCUCGCCUUCUGCCACGCGGCGCGCAUCAGCGACCUCUCCAACUAGGAGCUGGCGCGCUCGCUGCACAAACUGCACGAAGCACCCGCCCCAGGUGCGCGCAGCCCGUACUCUCAGAUUCCUAACCUGGAGGGGUUGGCGCUCCCGGAACGCAGGACACGAAGCCCAGCCCCGGGCCCCGGCUUCCGCCUGAUCCAGCCCUACUAGCCCGGCCGCCCCAAGAUCCCGCCCAGCCCGGGGCGUGUCUCGGCCUAGGGAUACUGGGCCAGCCACGAAAGCCUCCGCCCCCUCGAAGCGGGCUCCCUCGCCGCCAACUCUAGUGAAGAAGCAGCCCUUCUCCCCGGCGCCCGCUGGUUUGCAGAGGCCUGCUAUGAAGAGCUUGUGCAAGUAAAGCGUUUGCUGAGCGGAAACAGGCUGCGGGUGGCUGCGGCAGGCAUGGAGCCGACGCGGAUCUUUUGCAAACAUCUUUAUUAAUCUCAUAUAAAAAUAAGGUCCAUGGACGG
Long non-coding RNA from Homo sapiens (human), 588 nucleotides. The record is from Ensembl. Lineage: Eukaryota; Metazoa; Chordata; Mammalia; Primates; Hominidae.